Long non-coding RNA from Wasmannia auropunctata (little fire ant), 261 nucleotides. RefSeq lists it as uncharacterized. The record is from RefSeq and is a predicted model, not a curated record. NCBI's taxonomy places the organism in Eukaryota, Metazoa, Arthropoda, Insecta, Hymenoptera, Formicidae. The transcript has 2 exons.
UCGGGCCAGCUAUCGGAGGAGUUACUUAACUGAUCUGACAUAGCGAAAGCAAGGACAGCAACGCCUGUGGCCGAGCGGAAAAUCACGGGCGUUACCUCAGUGGGGAGCCGCUCCGACAGGUAGUGGAACGGUAGCGAGGUAAAUUAUUAACGUAGUAUGACAACGCGGCGGUUAAGUGAAUUCAUAUACUAUGAACUACGUGUGAGUAUCUAAAUGCUGUAAGAAAUGAUUAUUCGACAAUGGAAUAAAUGAUGAUAAAAA